CCUACGGGAGGCAGCAGUGAGGAAUAUUGGUCAAUGGGCGUAAGCCUGAACCAGCCAAGUCGCGUGAGGGAUGAAGGUUCUAUGGAUCGUAAACCUCUUUUAUAAGGGAAUAAAGUGCGGGACGUGUCCCGUUUUGUAUGUACCUUAUGAAUAAGGAUCGGCUAACUCCGUGCCAGCAGCCGCGGUAAUACGGAGGAUCCGAGCGUUAUCCGGAUUUAUUGGGUUUAAGGGGUUCGUAGGCGGCCUUUUAAGUCAGCGGGGAAAGUCUGUGGCUAAACAAAAGAAUUGCCGUUGGAACUGGGAGGCUUGAGUAUGUUUGAGGCAGGCGGAAUGCGUGGUGUAGCGGUGAAAUGGUUAGAUAUCACGCAGAACCCCGAUUGCGAAGGCAGCCUGCCAAGCCAUGACUGACGCUGAUGCACGAAAGCGUGGGGAUCAAACAGGAUGAGAUACCCUGGUAGUC
RNAcentral lists this ribosomal RNA (460 nucleotides) under uncultured bacterium. RNAcentral describes it as "partial 16S ribosomal RNA". It matches the Rfam family "Bacterial small subunit ribosomal RNA", at positions 338 to 795 of the family's 1533-position model. The record is from RNAcentral.